GACUGUUGAAGAAAAGAAAAAGCUGGAGGAAAGUGAACAGUUGCUAAACCAAAGGAGGGAUCUUAUAGCCAAUUACUGAAGCUCUGUGGAAGACCUUGUGAAGACUGAGCCAUAGUCGCUUCUCACUUUACUAAGCACAGGUAAAAAAA
Molecule: long non-coding RNA, 149 nt
Organism: Hibiscus syriacus
Lineage: Eukaryota; Viridiplantae; Streptophyta; Magnoliopsida; Malvales; Malvaceae
Exons: 2
Source: RefSeq, a predicted model, not a curated record